AACGAACGCUGGCGGCAUGCCUAACACAUGCAAGUCGAGCGCCUGUAGCAAUACAGGAGCGGCGCACGGGUGAGUAACGCGUGGGAACCUGCCCUUAGGUUCGGAACAACCGCGGGAAACUGCGGCUGAUACCGGAUGAUGUCUUCGGACCAAAGAUUUAUCGCCUUUGGAGGGGCCCGCGUCGGAUUAGGUAGCUGGUGAGGUAACGGCUCACCAAGCCUGCGAUCCGUAGCUGGUCUGAGAGGAUGACCAGCCACACUGGGACUGAGACACGGCCCAGACUCCUACGGGAGGCAGCAGUGGGGAGUAUUGGACAAUGGGGGCAACCCUGAUCCAGCAAUGCCGCGUGGGUGAUGAAGGCCUUCGGGUUGUAAAGUCCUUUCGGCGGGGACGAUGAUGACGGUACCCGCAGAAGAAGCCCCGGCUAACUUCGUGCCAGCCGCCGCAGUAA
This 451-nucleotide ribosomal RNA is filed under the name uncultured bacterium. Its description in RNAcentral is "partial 16S ribosomal RNA". It matches the Rfam family "Bacterial small subunit ribosomal RNA", at positions 29 to 523 of the family's 1533-position model. The record is from RNAcentral.